This 274-nucleotide ribosomal RNA is filed under the name uncultured bacterium. Its description in RNAcentral is "partial 16S ribosomal RNA". It matches the Rfam family "Bacterial small subunit ribosomal RNA", at positions 523 to 796 of the family's 1533-position model. The record is from RNAcentral.
AUACAGAGGGUGCAAGCGUUAUUCGGAAUUACUGGGCGUAAAGCGCGCGUAGGCGGAUGAUUAAGUCAGUUGUGAAAGCCCUGGGCUCAACCUAAGAACUGCAUCUGAUACUGGUCGUCUAGAGUUUAAGAGAGGGAAGUGGAAUUCCAGGUGUAGCAGUGAAAUGCGUAGAUAUCUGGAGGAACAUCAGUGGCGAAGGCGACUUCCUGGCUUAAAACUGACGCUGAGGUGCGAAAGCGUGGGUAGCGAACGGGAUUAGAAACCCUAGUAGUCC